GUGGACUGGCAAGCCUCCCUCUUUCCUUCCUUCCCAGUAUUUUCUCUCUCUAACUAUAUCUAUACAUUUUUCUAUAUAUAUAUAUACUCCAUAUUUGAAGACAUCACAUGCUAUAGAGAGAGAGAGAGAGAUUUGAAUGCAACAGGUGAAAUUGCAGUGAGGCAGUUUCCCGAUAAAGCCAGUAUCCGUCUCUUAUGCUCUUUGUCCCCUCAUCGGAUCCAGAGUUCCUUCUCUUUACCUCAAAGGGAUUCCGUUCCUAGAUUAAGUGAGAUCAUUUUUUUGUUAAGAUUUUGUUUUAGGAUUAGUUUUUAG
This is a non-coding RNA of Vicia faba (fava bean), 312 nucleotides long. Lineage: Eukaryota; Viridiplantae; Streptophyta; Magnoliopsida; Fabales; Fabaceae. The record is from the annotation of a GenBank genome assembly.